RNAcentral lists this long non-coding RNA (720 nucleotides) under Homo sapiens (human). Its description in RNAcentral is "HSALNT0008303". The record is from RNAcentral. Lineage: Eukaryota; Metazoa; Chordata; Mammalia; Primates; Hominidae.
CUUUGUUGUAUUAUCUCAUUUAUUUCUCACCAUUCAGGAACUGGGUUUAGAGAGGCUAAAUAAUUGACCCAUGAUUAAUACUGGUGAUGAUGAUGUUUACGACUGAAUACUUAUUGUAUGCCCAGCCCUGUACUGAGUCCUUUAUAUACAUGAUCUCCAUUUAAGCUUCACCACAAGACUCUGAGGUAUUAUUUUCCUUUUACAGAUAAACUAAGGCUCACAGAGAUCAUGAAAUUUGCAGUUAGUGAAUGGUGCUGUUGCAAUUUGAUCUCAGUGGUUUUCAAGGUGUGGUCUCCAGAUCAGCAACCUCAGCAUCACCUGGGAACUUGAUGGAAAUGCCCACCUUCAAUCCACUGAAUCAGAUUCUGUGUGUCAGGCCUCUAGCCCAAGCUAAGCCAUCAUAUCCCCUGUGACCUGCACGUAUACAUCCAGAUGGCCUGAAGCAACUGAAGAUCCACAAAAGUGAAAAUAGCCUUAACUGAUGACAUUCCACCACUGUGAUUUGUUUCUGCCCCACCCUAACUGAUCAAUGUACUUUGUAAUUCUCCUUACCCUUGAGAAUGUACUUUGUGAGAUCCACCCGCUGCCCGCAAAACACUGCUCCUAACUCCACCGCCUAUCCGAAAAUCUAUAAGAACUAAUGAUAAUCCCACCACCCUUUCCUGACUCUCUUUUCGGACUCAGCCCGCCGGCACCCAGGUAAAAUAAACAGCCUUAUUG